Pangasianodon hypophthalmus (striped catfish) is the source of this 1610-nucleotide long non-coding RNA. RefSeq lists it as uncharacterized. The record is from RefSeq and is a predicted model, not a curated record. Lineage: Eukaryota; Metazoa; Chordata; Actinopteri; Siluriformes; Pangasiidae. The transcript is spliced from 2 exons.
CGUCUAAUACUUCUCCUAAAAGAUUACUGAAUUUAACACUGCAACAUGAAGCAGCACAAGCUGUCUGCAAAAAAGCGCCUUACCAAACCGCUUCUUUUCGGCACACUGAUCGCAGGACUUGCAACAGCUUUCUACAACAGGCACUUGUUCUUUGAAGACGUGGAAGAGCUUCGAGCUCAGGAACGAGCUCGUAAUGAUGCCAAACGCUUAGAAGUGUUAGAAAGGAGGCAGAAACAAAUAGAAGAGCUGGUGGAGAAGAGAAAUGCAGGGAACAGUUGAAAUCAGACAUCUAUGCAAGGACAUAUCUGCUCACCUGUGCUGAAAGCAGAAAAAACAGGGUGGCCACCAUCUAACUGUCCAAAAAAAUGAUGAUUGUAUUCGGUGCAAAAUCGGAGCUACACAAGAUACAAGAACGUUACUCCACUUAAUAACACCCCCCUCUAACUAACUAUCAAGAAGCUGUAUCCCCUCAGUGGAUUGAAAAUUUAGAUGAAAAGAUGGACCAUCACAAGAGCUAUAAUCUAACAGGAUUUGUACUUCAACCACAGAUUUGUGUUGGCUCGUGAAUGUCAAACUGCUAUUAAAAAAUUGCUUGUAUAAGAUAAGCUCAUACAAUGCUUUUUUUCUGUCACAGUGACACAUUGCCCUCAUCAUUAGCCCAGUACCUGCCAAGUGAGAUAUACAUAUAUGUAAAUAAAAAAAGUGUAAAAAAAAAGACUUGUCUGCCUUUGUAUGAAAGAAAAUUAAAUACAUUAUAAACAUUCAAAAGCCUAUUUUUACAAAUAUUUGGCAAAGGUUUUAUGAAGAUCUGCAUUGUAAAACAGGAAUUGAUUUUCAGGCAUUUGCAACAUGUCUCUGUUCUAAAAAUAAACCUUUGCACCUUUGCCACUUUCUUGUAUUGCGUUUUAUUUUUGGCAGCCGGUAAUGCCACACCUGUAAUGUACUAGAGUAAAUGAAUAAUGUAAGAGUGAUAAAUGCAGCACACCACACAUAACAGAGCAUGCAAAGACAUAAAGCAGGAGCAUCUUUAGAGAGAACAGGUGGAAUAACUUUGCAAAGCUGAACAAACAGACUGCAGUUUACAAAUAAUACAUAUCCAUCUAGUCGGAAGAGGAUGUAAACAACCGUAGCAGCUAGUGAUGGGAAUUCCAGCUCUUUUCAAUGAGCCAGUGAUUGUUCUGGCUGAAAUGUGUAAUCCAAUCUUAAUCUACAUUCUAAAAACAAAAUGACAUUGUGUUGCAUUUUAUUAUUUUUUUUUUAAAAAUACAAAGGUCAUGUCAUUGUGCCUGCUGUAUCCUGAUAACUGACCAUGUCCUACACUCAUAACUACAUACAGUUCAUCUUCAACAAGCAGCAAGGCAGUGGAUCCUUCAUCAUGCUGUCAAACACGUCUCACCAUUCAUGCUAACAAACAUCUCAGAUGAGCUUUGAAUCGAGGCAUUUUAAUUAAAUUACACCAACAUCCAAAAAAAAAAAAAACCCAGCUUACUUAUGCAAGUCUAUUCCCAAAGUUUGACUCUUUUUAAAUUAUUUGAAUGUGCUUCAUAUCAGUGUGAAAAGAGGUAAAAUAUUUAAUAAAUGUUUACUUUUUAAAGUAAUUCUUAUUCCAA